UAUCUCUGUAGAGUCUGCAUAUCAAUAAGCGGAGGAAAAGAAACUAACAAGGAUUCCCUUAGUAACGGCGAGUGAAGCGGGAAGAGCUCAAAUUUGAAAUCUUCAAGGUUUUACCUUGACGAAUUGUAGUUUAAAGAAGUGUUUUCUGUUGGUGUUUUGGUAAAAGUUCUUUGGAAUAGGACAUCAUAGAGGGUGAGAAUCCCGUAUUUGACCGUUAUUUUCAGCUGUGUGAUACACUUUCAAAGAGUCGGAUUGUUUGGGAAUGCAGUCCAAAAUGGGUGGUAAAUUUCAUCUAAAGCUAAAUAUUGGCGAGAGACCGAUAGCGAACAAGUACCGUGAGGGAAAGAUGAAAAGAACUUUGAAAAGAGAGUUAAACAGUACGUGAAAUUGUCAAAAGGGAAGCGUUUGACACCAGUGUUGUUUUCUCGAAAAUCAAUUAAAAAGUGUUGGAUUUUGUAUUGUUAAGACCUUAUCAGCUUACUGUACUUUUUUCCUGCUCUUUUUAAUGCACUUUUCGUUUAACAAGUCAACAUCAGUUUCUUUUGUUGUAAAAAGGUCAUUGGAAGGUGGCUUUCUUUUCGGAGAAAGUGUUUAUAGCCUUUGACUCCUGCAAUCGGAGAGAUUGAGGUCUGCAGCGUAGAUCCUUCGGGGUUAGAUACAUUUGUGCUAAGUUAUAGCCUUUCAUAGACAACUUGUUGACUAUGAUCAGUCAUGUAGCUUACUCGCUUAUGCUAUUUUACCUACGCUUAGGAUGUUGAUCUCUCACAGUCGAGC
This 774-nucleotide ribosomal RNA is filed under the name uncultured Neocallimastigales. RNAcentral describes it as "partial large subunit ribosomal RNA". It matches the Rfam family "Eukaryotic large subunit ribosomal RNA", at positions 24 to 645 of the family's 3401-position model. Lineage: Eukaryota; Fungi; Neocallimastigomycota; Neocallimastigomycetes; Neocallimastigales. The record is from RNAcentral.